ACACAACUCUGCUGCCAAGUGAAAAGUGUUACAAUUGAUACAAUGAUACAAUAGAGCUGAAUAGUAACACAAAUCACCGGUAUCACAUUAUCAUGGCCAGAUUCUAAUCAAAUGCCUUUUAAUUGAAGGAGAUUCUUUAUUUUUCAACAAAUAUGGCACGUUUAUCCUGUUGCUGUACAUAGUGAGAUUAUUACUCUGUUUUAUUUUUAAUACUAUGGUAACAAGACUUAUUACUAAGCUGUUGCUAUUUCCCCUCAAUAUUUCUCAGAGGGUUAUAGCCUGUUUUGAAGCAUAUUCACUACAUUGUUGUGUGUAAAUUAAUGAAAUUACCAGUCAUGCAUUAUAUUUGUUGAUUAUAUCCCGAUCAAUCUUAGUGAUAACUUAUUUGUGUAAAUUAUAAUUAUCAUACAUUUACCCAUGCUUUUUUCUUAUUCAUUUCAGGCAUGUCUAGCAUUUCAUCUAUGCUCUGAUUCGAUUCUAUGCUCUGACCCCCCAGGUCAACAACACAAACAGGCAACAGUUCCAUUUCCAGCUAGAAGCUUACAGAAUGCAUAUGAAAAUAAAAACUGUUGAAUUCUGCUAACCAGGGCCUCCUUUCCAGUUCUAACGUCAAAGGAAGGUAGAUACUAUCUGCUAGCUAAGUAGUAGUAGUAGUAUUAGUAGUGGUAGUAGUAGUAGUAUUAGUAGUGGUAGUAGUAGUAGUAGUAGUGUUAGUAGUAGUGGUAGUGGUAGUAGUGUUAGUAGUAGUGGUAGUGGUAGUAGUUGUAUUAAUGGUAGUAGUUGUAUUAGUGGCAAUACUGGUAGUAGUAGUAGUUGUAUUAGUGGUAAUAGUGGUAGUAGUUGUAUUAGUGGCAAUACUGGUAGUAGUAGUAGUAGCAGCAUUAGUAGUAGUAGUAGUGUUAGUAGUUGUAGUUGUAUUAGUGUUAGUAAUAGUAGUUGUAUUAGUGGUAAUAGUGGUAGUAGUAGUAGUUGUAGUAGUAGUGGUAGUAGUAGUAGUAGCAGCAGUAGUAGGUGUGUAGUAGUGGUAGUAGUAGUAGUGGUAGUGGUGAUUGUUGUAGUAGUGGUAGCAUUAGUGGUAGUAGUGGUAGUAGUUGUACAUUUACAUUUACAUAUACGUCAUUUAGCAGACGCUCUUAUCCAGAGCGACUUACAAAUUGGUGCAUUCACCUUAUGAUAUCCAGUGGAACAACCACUUUACAAUAGUACAUCUAUAUCUUUUUUUGGGGGGGGGUUAGAAGGUUUACUUAAUCCUAUCCCAGGUAUUCCUUAAAGAGGUGGGGUUUCAGGUGUCUCCGGAAGGUGGUGAUUGGCUCCGCUGUCCUGGCGUCGUGAGGGAGCUUGUUCCACCAUUGGGGUGCCAGAGCAGCAAACAGUUUUGACUGGGCUGAGCGGGAACUGUAGUAGUAAUAGUAGUAGUGGUAGUAGUUGUAGUAGUAGUGGUAGUAGUAGUAGUGGGGGUGGUAGUGGUUGUGGUAGUAGUAGUAGUAGUAGUAGUAGUAGUAGUGCUAGUAGUAGCAGUGGUGGUAGUAGUAGUAGUGGUGGUAGUAGUAGUAGUAGUGGUGGUGGUAGUAGUAGUAGUAGUAGUAGUGGUGGUGGUAGUAGUAGUAAUGGUAGUAGUGGUAGUAGUAGUGGUAUUGGUAGUAGUAGUAGUAGUGGUAGUAGUAGUAGUGGUAGUAGUAGUAGUGGUGGUAGUAGUAGUGGUGGUAGUAGUGUUAGUAGUAGUGGUAGUAGUAGUGGUAGUGGUAGUGGUAGUAGUAGUAGUAGUAGUAUUAGUAGUAGUGGUAGUAGUGGUAGUAGUGGUAUUAGUAUUAGUGGUAGUAGUAGUAGUAGUAGUAGUGGUAGUAGUAGUAGUAGAAGUAGUAGUAGUAGUAGUAGUAGUGUUAGUAGAAGUAGUGGUGGUAGUAGUGUUAGUUGUAGUGGUAGUAGUAAUAGUAGUGGUGGUAGUAGUGGUAGUAGUAGUGGUAGUGGUAGUGGUAGUAGUAGUAGUAGUAGUAGUAGUGGUGGUAGUAGUAGUAGUUGUAUUAGUGUAAUAGUGGUAGUAGUAGUAGUAGUAGUUGUUGUAUUAGUGGUAAUAGAGGUUGUAUUGGUAGUAGUAGUGGUAGUAGUAAUAGUGGUGGUGGUAGUAGUAGUAUUAGUAGUGGUAGAAGUAGUAGUAGUAGUAGUAGUUGUAUUAGUGGUAAUAGUGGUAGUAGUUGUAUUAGUGGCAAUACUGGUAGUAGUAGUAGUAGCAGUAGUGUUAGUAGUUGUAGUUGUAUUAGUGGUAAUAGUAGUAGUAGUAGUAGUAGUGUUAGUAGUUGUAGUUGUAUUAGUGGUAAUAGUGGUAGAAGUAGUCGCAGUAGUAGUAGUAGUGUUAGUACUAGUAGUUGUAUUAGUGGAAAUAGUGGUAGUAGUAGUAGUUGAUUUAGUGGUAAUAGUGGUAGUAGUAGUGGCAGUGGUAAUAGUGGUAGUAGUAGUAGUAGUUAAAGUAUUAGUUGUCGUGGUAGUAGUAGUAGUAGCAGCAAUAGUAGGUGUGUAGUAGUGGUAGUAGUAGUAGUGGUAGUGGUGAUAGUAGUAGUAGUGGUAGCGGUAGUGGUAGUAGUGGUAGUAGUUGUAGUAGUAGCAAUAGUAGUAGUGGUAGUAGUUGUAGUAGUACUGGUAGUAGUAGUGGUGGUGGUAGUAGUGGUUGUGGUAGUAGUAGUAGUAGUAGUAGUAGUGGUAGUAGUAGUAGUAGUAGUAGUAGUAGUGGUAGUAGGAAUAAUCGUGGUGGUAGAAGUAAUGGUGGUGGUAGUGGUAGUAGUAGUAAUGGUAGUAGUGGUAGUAGUCGAAGUAGUAGUAGUGGUAGUAGUAGUAGUAGUGGUGGUAGUAUUAGUAAUAGUAGUGGUAGUAGUAAUAGUGGUGGUGGUAAUAGUAGUAGUAGUGGUAGUAGUGGUAGUAGUAGUGGUGGUAGUAGUAGUAGUAGUAGUGGUGGUGGUGGUAGUAGUAGUAGUAGUGGUGGUUUUAGUAGUAGUGGUAGUAGUAGUAGUAUUAGUAUUAGUAGUGGUAGUGGUAGUUGUAGUAGUAGUGGUAGUGGUAGUGGUAGUGUUCGUAGUACUAGUAGUAGUGGUGGUGGUAGUAGUGGUGGUAGUAGUAGUAGUGGUAGUAGUAGUAGUAGUAGUAGUAUAAGUAGUGGUAGUAGCGGUACUAGCAGUAGUAGUAUUAGUAGUGGUAGUAGUAAUAGUGGUGGUGGUAGUAGUAGUAGUUGUGGUAGUAGUAGUAGUAUUAGUAGUUGUAGUAGUAGUAGUGGUGGUGGUGGUGGUAGUAGUAGUAGUGGUGGUAGUAGUAGUAGUGGUAGUAGUAGUAGUAUUAGUGUUAGUAGUGGUAGUUGUAGUAGUAGUGGUAGUAGUAGUGGUAGUGGUAGUGUCCUUAGUAGUAGUAGUGGUGGUGGUAGUAGUAGUAGUAGUGGUGGUAGUAGUAGUGGUAGUAGUAGUAGUAGUAGUAUAAGUAGUGGUAGUAGCGGUAGUAGCAGUAGUAGUAGUAUUAGUAGUGGUAGUAGUAAUAGUGGUGGUAGUAGUAGUAGUUGUCGUGGUAGUAGUGGUAGUAGUAGUAGUAUUAGUGUUAGUAGUGGUAGUGGUAGUUGUAGUAGUAGUGGUAGUAGUAGUGUCCUUAGUAGUAGUAGUGGUGGUGGUAGUAGUAGUAGUAGUGGUGGUAGUAGUAGUGGUAGUAGUAGUAGUAGUAGUAUAAGUAGUGGUAGUAGCGGUAGUAGCAGUAGUAGUAGUAAUAGUGGUGGUGGUAGUAGUAGUAGUUGUGGUAGUAGUGGUGGUAGUAGUAGUAGUAAUGGUAGUAGUGGUAGUAGUAGUAGUAGUAGUAGUAGUAUUAGUAGUGGUAGUAGUAGUAGUGGUAGUAGUAGUAGUAGUUGUAUUAGUGGUAAUAGUGGUAGUAGUUGUAUUAGUGGCAAUACUGGUGGUAGUAGUAUUAGUAGCAGUAUUAUUAUUAUUAGUAGUGUUAGUAGUUGUUGUUGUAUUAUUGGUAAUAGUGAUAGUAGUAGCAGUAGUAGUAGCGGUAGUAGGUGUAGUGUUGGUACUAGUAGUUGUAUUAGUUGAAAUAGUGGUAGUAGUAGUAGUUGAUUUAGUGGUAAUAGUGGUAGUGGUAAUAGUGGUAGUAGUAGUAGUGGUGAUAGUAGUAGUAGUGGUGGUAGUAGUAGUAGUGGUAGUAGUAGUAGUAGUAGUAGUAGUAGUAUAAGUAGUGGUAGUAGCGGUAGUAUCAGUAGUAGUAGUAUUAGUAGUGGUAGUAGUAAUAGUGGUGGUGGUAGUAGUAGUAGUUGUGGUAGUAGUAGUGGUGGUAGUAGUAGUAGUAGUGGUAGUAGUAGUAGUGUUAGUAGAAGUAGUGGUGGUAGUAGUGUUAGUUGUAGUGGUAGUAGUAAUAGUAGUGGUGGUAGUAGUGGUAGUAGUAGUGGUAGUGGUAGUGGUAGUAGUAGUAGUAGUAGUAGUAGUGGUGGUAGUAGUAGUAGUUGUAUUAGUGUAAUAGUGGUAGUAGUAGUAGUAGUAGUAGUUGUUGUAUUAGUGGUAAUAGAGGUUGUAUUGGUAGUAGUAGUGGUAGUAGUAAUAGUGGUGGUGGUAGUAGUAGUAUUAGUAGUGGUAGAAGUAGUAGUAGUAGUAGUAGUUGUAUUAGUGGUAAUAUUGGUAGUAGUUGUAUUAUUGGCAAUACUGGUAGUAGUAGUAGUAGCAGUAGUGUUAGUAGUUGUAGUUGUAUUAGUGGUAAUAGUGGUAGUAGUAGUAGUAGUGUUAGUAGUUGUAGUUGUAUUAGUGGUAAUAGUGGUAGAAGUAGUCGCAGUAGUAGUAGUAGUGUUAGUACUAGUAGUUGUAUUAGUGGAAAUAGUGGUAGUAGUAGUAGUUGAUUUAGUGGUAAUAGUGGUAGUAGUAGUGGCAGUGGUAAUAGUGGUAGUAGUAGUAGUAGUUAAAGUAUUAGUUGUCGUGGUAGUAGUAGUAGUAGCAGCAAUAGUAGGUGUGUAGUAGUGGUAGUAGUAGUAGUGGUAGUGGUGAUAGUAGUAGUAGUGGUAGCGGUAGUGGUAGUAGUGGUAGUAGUUGUAGUAGUAGCAAUAGUAGUAGUGGUAGUAGUAGUAGUAGUGGUGGUUUUAGUAGUAGUGGUAGUAGUAGUAGUAUUAGUGUUAGUAGUGGUAGUGGUAGUUGUAGUAGUAGUGGUAGUGGUAGUGGUAGUGUUCGUAGUACUAGUAGUAGUGGUGGUGGUAGUAGUGGUGGUAGUAGUAGUAGUGGUAGUAGUAGUAGUAGUAGUAGUAGUAGUAGUAGUAUAAGUAGUGGUAGUAGUGGUAGUAGCAGUAGUAGUAUUAGUAGUGGUAGUAGUAAUAGUGGUGGUGGUAGUAGUAGUAGUUGUGGUAGUAGUAGUAGUAUUAGUAGUUGUAGUAGUAGUAGUGGUGGUGGUGGUGGUAGUAGUAGUAGUGGUGGUAGUAGUAGUAGUGGUAGUAGUAGUAGUAUUAGUGUUAGUAGUGGUAGUGGUAGUUGUAGUAGUAGUGGUAGUAGUAGUGGUAGUGGUAGUGUCCUUAGUAGUAGUAGUGGUGGUGGUAGUAGUAGUAGUAGUGGUGGUAGUAGUAGUGGUAGUAGUAGUAGUAGUAGUAUAAGUAGUGGUAGUAGCGGUAGUAGCAGUAGUAGUAGUAUUAGUAGUGGUAGUAGUAAUAGUGGUGGUAGUAGUAAUAGUUGUCGUGGUAGUAGUGGUAGUAGUAGUAGUAUUAGUGUUAGUAGUGGUAGUGGUAGUUGUAGUAGUAGUGGUAGUAGUAGUGUCCUUAGUAGUAGUAGUGGUGGUGGUAGUAGUAGUAGUGGUGGUAGUAGUAGUGGUAGUAGUAGUAGUAGUAGUAUAAGUAGUGGUAGUAGCGGUAGUAGCAGUAGUAGUAGUAAUAGUGGUGGUGGUAGUAGUAGUAGUUGUGGUAGUAGUGGUGGUAGUAGUAGUAGUAAUGGUAGUAGUGGUAGUAGUAGUAGUAGUAGUAGUAGUAGUAGUAGUAGUAGUAGUAGUAGUGGUAGUAGUAGUAGUAGUUGUAUUAGUGGUAAUAGUGGAAGUAGUUGUAUUAGUGGCAAUACUGGUGGUAGUAGUAGUAGUAGCAGUAUUAUUAUUAUUAGUAGUGUUAGUAGUUGUUGUUGUAUUAGUGGUAAUAGUGAUAGUAGUAGCAGUAGUAGUAGCGGUAGUAGGUGUAGUGUUAGUACUAGUAGUUGUAUUAUUGGUAAUAGUGGUAGUAGUAGUAGUGGUAGUAGUAGUUAAAGUAGUAGUUGUAGUGGUAGUAGUUGUAGUAGUAGUAGUAGUAGCAGCAGUAGUAGGUGUGUAGUAGUGGUAGUAGUAGUGGUAGUAGUAGUAGUGGUGAUAGUAGUAGUAGUGGUAGCGGUACUGGUAGUAGUGGUAGUAGUAGUAGUAAUAGUAGUAGUGGUAGUAGUUGUAGUAGUACUGGUAGUAGUAGUAGUGGUGGUGGUAGUAGUAGUAGUGGUAGUAAUGGUAGUAGUCGAAGUAGUAGUAGUUGUAGUAGUGGUAGUGGUGGUAGUAGUGGUAGUAGUAGUAUUGGUAGUAAUUGUAGUGGUAGUAGUAGUAGUGGUAGUAGUAAUCGUAGUAGUUGUAGUGGUAGUAGUUGUAGUGGUAGUAGUUGUAGUAGUAGUAGUAGUGGUAGUGGUAGUAGUAGUAGUGGUACUAGUAAUAGUAGUAGUUGUAGUGGUAGUAGUAGUAGUAGUUGUAGUAGUAGUAGUGGUAGUGGUACUAGUAAUAGUAGUAAUUGUAGUGGUAGUAGUAGUAGUGGUAGUAGUAAUCGUAGUAGUUGUAGUGGUAGUAGUUGUAGUGGUAGUAGUUGUAGUAGUAGUAGUGGUAGUGGUAGUAGUAGUAGUGGUACUAGUAAUAGUAGUAGUUGUAGUAUAGUAGUGGUAGUGGUAGUAGUAGUAGUGGUAGUAGUAGUAGUAGUGGUAGUGGUAGUAGUAGUAGUAGUAGUUGUAGUAGUAGUGGUAGUGGUAGUAGUAGUAGUGGUAGUAGUAGUGUGUUUGUGUACCUACAUUGUUGGUUGUUUCUGUGUUUUUUAAUAAACUUUUAGCAUAACACCCCAGCAGUGGGCCUCUGCUCUCGCUGCUCCUUCCAGCUCUGCUUCUGGACCCGGCUGACUGCCAGUGUUCACUGGCAUUGUUAGCUAAUAUGACAGCAGAGUGCUUGCAGGACUCACUGGAGUGUAGCAGAGAGAGAGGGGGGGAGAGACAGAGAGAGGGCUAGAGAGUUUGCUAGUGAGAGAGAGAGAAAGGGAAGGAAAGAGAGAGAGAGCAGGCAGGCAGGCAGUGGUAGGGGCGGAAGGAGAGAAGAGUAGCAGAACACACACACACACACACACACACACACACACACACACACACACACACACACACACACACACACACACACACACACACACACACACACACACACACACACACACACACACACACACACACACACACACACACAGUAGAGAAUGUUUACAGGGGAAAUGCAACCCAGAACAACUGAGCAGCACCAAUCCUCUCCAUCUCUCCUCCAUCGCUCCUCUCCUCCAUCUAUCCAUCUCUCAGUGAACUGAGUUAGGAAGGCUUGUACUUUGUAGUGACUGGGUGUAUUGAUACUGAGGUAGGAAGGCUUGUACUUUGUAGUGACUGGGUGUAUUGACACUGAGGUAGGAAGGCUUGUAUCUUUGUUGUGACUGGGUGUAUUGAUACUGAGGUAUGAAGGCUUGUAGUGACUGGGUGUAUUGAUACUGAGGUAGGAAGGCUUGUAGUGACUGGGUGUAUUGAUACUGAGUUAGGAAGGCUUGUAGUGACUGGGUGUAUUGAUACUGAGGUAGGAAGGCUUGUUGUGACUGGGUGUAUUGAUACUGAGUUAGGAAGGCUUGUAGUAACUGGGUGUAUUGAUACUGAGUUAGGAAGGCUUGUAGUGACUGGGUGUAUUGAUACUGAGGUAGGAAGGCUUGUAUAUUUGUAGUGACUGGGUGUAUUGAUACUGAGGUAGGAAGGCUUGUAGUGACUGGGUGUAUUGAUACUGAGGUAGGAAGGCUUGUAGUGACUGGGUGUAUUGAUACUGAGGUAGGAAGGCUUGUAGUGACUGGGUGUAUUGAUACUGAGUUAGGAAGGCUUGUAGUGACUGGGUGUAUUGACAUUGAGUUAGGAAGGCUUGUAUAUUUGUAGUGACUGGGUGUAUUUAUACACCAUCCAAAGUGUAAUUAAUAACUUCAGCAUGCUCAAAGGGUCUGCUUUUUUUCCUAUAUCCAUCUACCAAUAGGUGCCCUUCUUUGCGAGUGAUUGGAAAACCUCCCUUGUCUUUGUCGUUGAAUCUGUGCUUGAAAUGUACUAGUUGAUUGAGGGACCUUACAGAUAAUUUUAUGUGUGGGGUACAGCGAGGGCGUAGUUAUAAAAUAAUAAUGUUAACCACUAUUAUUGAACACGGAAUGAGUCCAUGCAACUUAUUAUGCAAUUUGUUAUGUACAUUUUGACUCCUAAACAUAUUGAGGCUUGCCUUAACAAAGGGCUUGAAUACUUAUUGACUCAAGACAUUUAAGGAUUUAAUUUUUAUUCAUAAAAACAAUGUUCUAUAAACAAAAUUCCACUUUGACAUUUUGGGGUAUUAAACAUUUAUUAAAUUGAUAUUUUGCAUCACUGAUCUACACUUAAUUCAGGC
Molecule: long non-coding RNA, 8634 nt
Filed under: Salmo salar (Atlantic salmon)
Lineage: Eukaryota; Metazoa; Chordata; Actinopteri; Salmoniformes; Salmonidae
Description: lncRNA (ENSSSAG00000112708.1)
Source: RNAcentral